RNAcentral lists this ribosomal RNA (448 nucleotides) under uncultured bacterium. RNAcentral describes it as "SSU rRNA". It matches the Rfam family "Bacterial small subunit ribosomal RNA", at positions 26 to 518 of the family's 1533-position model. The record is from RNAcentral.
AGAGCGAACGCUGGCGGCAGGCUUAACACAUGCAAGUCGAGCGGGCGUAGCAAUACGUCAGCGGCAGACGGGUGAGUAACGCGUGGGAACGUACCUUUUGGUUCGGAACAACACAGGGAAACUUGUGCUAAUACCGGAUAAGCCCUUACGGGGAAAGAUUUAUCGCCGAAAGAUCGGCCCGCGUCUGAUUAGCUAGUUGGUGAGGUAACGGCUCACCAAGGCGACGAUCAGUAGCUGGUCUGAGAGGAUGAUCAGCCACAUUGGGACUGAGACACGGCCCAAACUCCUACGGGAGGCAGCAGUGGGGAAUAUUGGACAAUGGGCGCAAGCCUGAUCCAGCCAUGCCGCGUGAGUGAUGAAGGCCCUAGGGUUGUAAAGCUCUUUUGUGCGGGAAGAUAAUGACGGUACCGCAAGAAUAAGCCCGGCUAACGUUCGCGCCAGCAGCCGC